UUUAUAUGAUGUUAUUUAAGUAUCUAAAAACCUAAAAUUAAUUUGCCAAACAAUAAUUCGAUUGUUAAACCUUCAGCCAGACCGAUCUAAAAGUGAAAAGUGAUUGGGCAUGUUGGAAGAGUACAGACAAUCACGUGUUAGUUGCGCAAGCGAGAUAGACGACAGCAGCUGUUUGUAAUCAAGAUGGCGUCAGUUUAGUCACAUUGGUGUAUUCGUUGCUGUUAUUUUUAAUGUUUUUAACAAAAUUGCGUUACAAUGGCUAGCGAAAAAUUAAAAUGUGUUUUUUGUAAAGACAGAAAUGGAAAAAUAAUAACUUUUGUUGAAGAUAAAUUAAAAAAGUGUAAAGAAGUUCUACAAAUACGUGUAAAUUUUAAACUGAAAUAUAAUAGUGUACAGUUACCGGAGCAAGUUGAUGACACUGAUGGAUAUCACAGAAAUUGUUACAGCAGUUUUACAGCUCUAAUGACAAAAUAUCGUAAUUUAUCUGAAAUUAAUUUCUCGUCAACAGUAGAUCUUUCCAGCACAUCUAGUUCAACUUCGUUAUCAAAUACGGCAGUAGAUGUUAGCAAAAUCCUGCCAGAUAAUACGUCUCAGAAUUCACAAACAGAAGUUGUUAUCCAAGAAAUUGACACUUCUAAUGCAAUUAUUGAGCCUGACAGUGUGGUAAAUAUAGAAACAAAUUCAGGUGUUAAACGAGUUUGUUUUUUUUGUGGAAAAGAUCGCAAGCAAUCAAAAGGUAAACAACAAACUUUACACUCCUCAAAUGAUGCAAAUAUUUAUAAAAAAAUAGCAGAGUGGAUGACAAAAUUAAGUAAUCAAGAGUUGUUAGACAAAAUAGAAAAUUUACAGUCAAAAAGUGAAAUUAUUUUUUAUCAUCAUUCGUGUGAAUUGGGAUAUUUAAAUGAUUAUAGUAAAGUUAUUGCUGAUAAUCCACAAACUCCCUGGCAUGACAAUCGGAGUAUCCACCAGUGCAUAUGAUUUUAUCUGGUUUGUUGGAGAGCAGUUACCAUCAUUAGUUGCCGACAUUAUCAUUAAAGAUAAUAGCUUAUUACAAGACGAUGAUAAUCCAAAAGACGACGAUGGCAAUGAAAAUGACAGUAGUGAUGAAGAUGAUGAUAAUUAUCAAGAUGCCUCCGUUUUUUGUGACACAAUUAUGGAUUAAAAAAUAUAAUUUUUGUUUACUUUCAUCCUUGAGAUAGAUUAUUACCUUAAUUUUGCACAAAAAUAAAUAAUUAUUUUAAUGCUA
Molecule: long non-coding RNA, 1246 nt
Organism: Harmonia axyridis
Lineage: Eukaryota; Metazoa; Arthropoda; Insecta; Coleoptera; Coccinellidae
Exons: 2
Source: RefSeq, a predicted model, not a curated record